This is a long non-coding RNA of Hyla sarda, 819 nucleotides long. RefSeq lists it as uncharacterized. The transcript has 4 exons. The record is from RefSeq and is a predicted model, not a curated record. Lineage: Eukaryota; Metazoa; Chordata; Amphibia; Anura; Hylidae.
UGCAAAAUGAAAGCAGCGAUCUGAUUGGUUGCUAUGGGCAACUCAGCAACUUUUCCUCUGCACAGGUUUUGAUAAAUCUCCCCCAUGGAGUCUCCCUCACCUGGUGUCCAAAGGAGCAGGUAACCCUGGUACAGGCCAAAAGGCACCUACAAGAGUCCAGGAUUGAUGCCCACCUCCCCUACCUUAUUUUUGUGAACUGAGGGUGCCUUCUUACUGAAAAGAGCCAGAAUGCCCAUCACUAGGGGUAAGGAAAACCACUAUGAACAACCUAACAAAACAGUAAGUAAUCCAAGAUAGCCACAAGCACAUGUCCAGACUCCUCCUUCCCCAGCUCAAGAUACUGCUCAGUUCAUUUGCUUGUGCAGUCCGCCAUUUUCUUGCGCUCCUUUUACUAAGGCCUGGCCAAAACAGAAUGAAGCAGGAAGUGCUAAUCGCUAGGUGAAACAGCCAGGCAACAAGCAGAGUGUUCUCUCACUCCAGGCGGUGCUCAGCUAUUAUUGACUAUAUAAAGCUCAUAUAUAGAGCUCAUUCCUCUGUCGGUUGGUCACCCAGAAGAUCUUGUCUCCAGUCAACCAGUGCCCAUGAAAGAUAAGUGUGGAAAAGGAAAUCAAUAUGAUUGCAAGAAAUGAAGGAUAAGAUAUGGGAUUUUAACAAGAAAGCAACUUUAUUAUAUCACAUGAGAUAUCUGCCCUGCUCGGCUUUUGAGGAAAUCUCUGGAAAUAUACUUUCAAUUAAUUGCCGGGGAAAGUUCAUUCUACCAGAACCUGUUCCUUCCCAAUGUGAUGGCCCGGAGCUCCGGUGUCAGAAGGAAUUAGCACA